UUAAAAUUUAACCGAUCUUAAAAGUACUUUUAAGAUCGGUUAUUUUAUGACCAAUCUUAAAAGUACUUUUAAGAUCGAUUAUUUUAUGA
RNAcentral lists this microRNA precursor (89 nucleotides) under Cajanus cajan (pigeon pea). RNAcentral describes it as "miRNA gene-KK1_046202". The record is from RNAcentral. Lineage: Eukaryota; Viridiplantae; Streptophyta; Magnoliopsida; Fabales; Fabaceae.